This 253-nucleotide ribosomal RNA is filed under the name uncultured bacterium. RNAcentral's name for it is "partial 16S ribosomal RNA". It matches the Rfam family "Bacterial small subunit ribosomal RNA", at positions 524 to 776 of the family's 1533-position model. The record is from RNAcentral.
UACGGGGGGAGCAAGCGUUGUUCGGAUUUACUGGGCGUAAAGGGCGCGUAGGCGGCGCAACAAGUCACUUGUGAAAUCUCCGGGCUUAACCCGGAGCGGCCAAGUGAUACUGUCGUGCUAGAGUGCGGAAGGGGCUACUGGAAUUCUCGGUGUAGCGGUGAAAUGCGUAGAUAUCGAGAGGAACACCUGCGGCGAAGGCGGGUAGCUGGGCCGACACUGCCGCUGAGGCGCGAAAGCCAGGGGAGCGAACGGG